ACGAGAUCUUCGGGUCUAGUGGCGCACGGGUGCGUAACGCGUGCGAUCUGCCCUUUGGUUCGGAAUACCGUUGGAACGACUGCUAAUACCGGAUGAUGACGAAGUCCAAAGAUUUAUCGCCAGAGGAUGAGCCCGCGUAGGAUUAGCUAGUUGGUGUGGGAAAGGCGCACCAAGGCGACGAUCCUUAUCUGGUCUGAGAGGAUGAUCAGCCACACUGGGACUGAGACACGGCCCAGACUCCUACGGGAGGCAGCAGUGGGGAAUAUUGGACAAUGGGCGAAAGCCUGAUCCAGCAAUGCCGCGUGAGUGAUGAAGGCCUUAAGGUUGUAAAGCUCUUUUACCCGGGAUGAUAAUGACAGUACCGGGAGAAUAAGCUCCGGCUAACUCCGUGCCAGCAGCCGCGGUAAUACGGAGGGAGCUAGCGUUGUUCGGAAUUACUGGGCGUAAAGCGCACGUACGCGGCUUUGUAAGUUAGAGGUGAAAGCCUGGAGCUCAACUCCAGACCUGCCUUUAAUGACUGCAUCGCUUGAGUCCAGGAGAGGUGAGUGGAAUUCCGAGUGUACAGGUGAAAUUCGUAGAUAUUCGGAACAACACCAGUGGCGAAUGCGGCUCACUGGACUGGUAUUGACGCUGAGGUGCGAAAGCGUGAAAAGCAAUAUAUGAUUAGAUACCCUGGUAGUCCACACCGUAUACGAUGAUGACUCGCUGCCCCCGGGACUUGGUCUUUGAGUGGACGCAGCUAACCCAUUAUAUUAUCCGCCCGGCGCAGUACGGACGCCAUGCUUAUACUCAGAUGAAUUUGACUGGGGCCUG
RNAcentral lists this ribosomal RNA (813 nucleotides) under uncultured bacterium. RNAcentral's name for it is "bacterial SSU rRNA". It matches the Rfam family "Bacterial small subunit ribosomal RNA", at positions 66 to 923 of the family's 1533-position model. The record is from RNAcentral.